This 67-nucleotide transfer RNA is filed under the name Sepedophilus bipunctatus. RNAcentral describes it as "tRNA-Trp". Lineage: Eukaryota; Metazoa; Arthropoda; Insecta; Coleoptera; Staphylinidae. The record is from RNAcentral.
AAGAAUUUAGGUUAAAUUUAAACUUGAAGCCUUCAAAGUUUCAGAUAAAGAAAAUCUUUAAGUCUUA